RNAcentral lists this ribosomal RNA (491 nucleotides) under uncultured bacterium. RNAcentral's name for it is "partial 16S ribosomal RNA". It matches the Rfam family "Bacterial small subunit ribosomal RNA", at positions 29 to 506 of the family's 1533-position model. The record is from RNAcentral.
AGUGAACGCUGGCGGUAGGCCUAACACAUGCAAGUCGAACGGCAGCACAGUAAGAGCUUGCUCUUACGGGUGGCGAGUGGCGGACGGGUGAGGAAUACAUCGGAAUCUACUUUUUCGUGGGGGAUAACGUAGGGAAACUUACGCUAAUACCGCAUACGACGUACGGGUGAAAGCAGGGGAUCUUCGGACCUUGCGCGAUUGUAUGAGCCGAUGUCGGAUUAGCUAGUUGGCGGGGUAAAGGCCCACCAAGGCGACGAUCCGUAGCUGGUCUGAGAGGAUGAUCAGCCACACUGGAACUGAGACACGGUCCAGACUCCUACGGGAGGCAGCAGUGGGGAAUGUUGGACAAUGGGCGCAAGCCUGAUCCAGCCAUACCGCGUGGGUGAAGAAGGCCUUCGGGUGGUAAAGCCCUUUUGUUGGGAAAGAAAAGCAGCAGGUUAAUACCCCGCUGUUCUGACGGUACACAAAGAAUAAGCACCGGCUAACUUCGU